RNAcentral lists this transfer RNA (59 nucleotides) under Dryopteris bodinieri. Its description in RNAcentral is "partial tRNA-Leu". The record is from RNAcentral. Lineage: Eukaryota; Viridiplantae; Streptophyta; Polypodiopsida; Polypodiales; Dryopteridaceae.
GAACGAAAAUCCGUUGGUUUAACAUGACCGUGAGGGUUCGACUCCCUCUAUCCCCAACG